This 301-nucleotide ribosomal RNA is filed under the name uncultured bacterium. RNAcentral's name for it is "partial 16S ribosomal RNA". It matches the Rfam family "Bacterial small subunit ribosomal RNA", at positions 509 to 807 of the family's 1533-position model. The record is from RNAcentral.
CAGUAGCCACGGUAACACGUAGGGUCCGAGCGUUGUCCGGAAUUACUGGGCGUAAAGCGUGCGCAGGCGGUUUGUUAAGACAGAUGUGAAAUCCCCGGGCUCAACCUGGGAACUGCAUUUGUGACUGGCAGGCUAGAGUAUGGCAGAGGGGGGUGGAAUUCCGCGUGUAGCAGUGAAAUGCGUAGAUAUGCGGAGGAACACCGAUGGCGAAGGCAGCCCCCUGGGCCAAUACUGACGCUCAUGCACGAAAGCGUGGGGAGCAAACAGGAUUAGAUACCCCAGUAGUCCCUGUCUCUUAUAC